GGUUUUAUAGUGUAGCGGUUAUCACAUCGGAUUCUGACUACUUCAGAAGUUUCCGGGAACCCCGGUUCGAUUCCGGGUAAGACCU
Molecule: non-coding RNA, 85 nt
Organism: Salinomyces thailandicus
Lineage: Eukaryota; Fungi; Ascomycota; Dothideomycetes; Mycosphaerellales; Teratosphaeriaceae
Source: the annotation of a GenBank genome assembly